Brienomyrus brachyistius is the source of this 1243-nucleotide long non-coding RNA. RefSeq lists it as uncharacterized. The record is from RefSeq and is a predicted model, not a curated record. Lineage: Eukaryota; Metazoa; Chordata; Actinopteri; Osteoglossiformes; Mormyridae. The transcript is spliced from 4 exons.
GAGAAAGAGAAGAGUUAAAGGAAGAGAAAGGAUGUUAAAGAGGGAGAGAGAGAGGCAGACAGAGAGAGAGAGACUGAGGAAUGGAACAAGACGUCCCAUCCGUGCGAUCAGACCAACGAGCGGAGACACUCUGAGCAACAUGAUGCACAGAAAGCCCUCGGCUGUCCAUCGUGAGAAGCCUAAUAGCCUGCCUAUGCCCCCCCCCCCCCACCACCACUCCUCCACAAACACCUUUGACACAAUUUGAUUACUGGUGCCCAUGCAACAACCCCAGAUGCCCAUCCUUAUAAUGCUACUGCAAAUUAUCCUAAGGUCUGUUGCCCAUCCUUAUAAUGCUGCUGCAAAUUAUCCUAAGAUAUGUUGCCCAUCCUUAUAAUGCUACUGCAAAUUAUCCUAAGGUCUGUUGCCCAUCCUUAUAAUGCUGCUGCAAAUUAUCCUAAGAUAUGUUGCCCAUCCUUAUAAUGCUACUGCAAAUUAUCCUAAGGUCUGUUGCCCAUCCUUAUAAUGCUGCUGCAAAUUAUCCUAAGAUAUGUUGCCCAUCCUUAUAAUGCUGCUGCAAAUUAUCCUAAGAUAUGUUGCCCAUCCUUAUAAUGCUACUGCAAAUUAUCCUAAGGUCUGUUGCCCAUCCUUAUAAUGCUACUGCAAAUUAUCCUAAGCACAUUAUUUUUUAAAUUGUUGACCAAGGGGACACACCUGGCUGUGGUACUUUUUCAGUGCUGGCUCAAGAUUCUACAGAAGAGGAUUAGGGCCACCAUAAAAACAUUAUUUGAAUUCUGACAUUAAUCUGACUUUGAUCUCAGAAUUCCGACUUUAGAAAAAAAAAAAGAAUUCUGAGAAAAAAUUCUGAAUUCUGAGUCACUCAAAUAAUAUUUUCAUGGUGGCCCUAAUCCUCUUCCAUAAGAUUCAGAAAUUGCCCGUCUCAAAUGCGUACAUGUAAAGCUCUGUAAUUUUGAGCAUGAUUUCCAUGAUUUUCAUGUAAUGAUGAUGUUACUUGAUAAUCUGUAAUUUUAUUGUACAUUUUACCCACUAUCAUGUAAAUGUUAAUACUGUACUCCGAUAUGGAUUUGGAUAUUAGUGAACUCUUACAAUAGUCUUUUGCUAAUAUCACCUCUUGUACUGACCAUUAUGUUCAUCUUAAAAUCUUUUGUUACUUCAUGCAGACUUUAUAGGGUUCAACAUUAACAUUCUGUUCUCUCUCUGACAACAGAGAAUAACUGAAUAAACAAAUAUUAUGUGGCAAAGA